AAUACGAGAUGAAGAAAACCGCAGUCUAGUGAUACCAUUAUCGUUCUCUUAAAUUUUCCUUCAAAAUUCGAGUUUAAAUCACAUUUUCCAUGGUUAUGUCUCUCUUUCUUCUUGAUCAUCACUUUAUUGUUUCCUUUAAAUAUUAUCGGCGUUUUCCUUUAUCUAAGUUCUUGAAGAUUCUUGUCCGGUUUGCAGUGUGCUGGAUGUCUGAUGAAGAAUCUUAAGUCCUUCAUUACAAAAGUGCGUUUGUGUUACGUCAUCAAAUCUGAUAAAAUUGUUUUUACCUAUUAAGCCCCGUACACACGGAGCAUCUUGAUGCGCGAUGUGUUGAAGCGACGAGUUGAAAAACGUUAAUUUCAACUCGUCGCUGCACCAUGAACACAAUCAUGACGCGGAGCCAUUUCAAAUCGCUGAGCAGUGUGUCAAUGACCGCUGAAGAAGAAGGACGCACGCGCUCUCUCUUCCGCCCUGCUUUCAUACAAUGGCUCAACCAACAAAGCCGUUCGAAUGGACGAAGUGUAUUACCUUACAUUUCAUUGAGUUGCUAAAGCAGCACCCAGUUAUUUGGAAUAUCAAGUGCAAGGAGUACAAGAUGAGAAAUAUCAAGAGUAUAAACAUGGAAACUCUAAAAGCUGACUUAUCUUCUUUUGUAAAUUGUAAUGUGCGGUAUGAAGACAUCACCAAAAAACUCCAUACACUGAAAACACAGUUUCACAGAGAAAUGACUGCCAUCAAUGCAUCAAAGAAGUCUGGUGCUGGCACGACAGAUGUAUACACUCCAAAGCUGUGGUGCUUUAAUGAUUUACUUUUCCUUGCUGAAGGAGAAAUCAUACGUACCUCAACUUCCAGUUUAGAUGUGGAAACUACUGAAAACCUUCGACAAGGGGAUGACCAUGUACUGGCAGCCAGUUACAACUUAGAUGGCGGAGGAAACACUCAACAAGUGAAUUGGCAACUGUGCUACGGAGCGAUGACUAAUCACUGGACAUCCCAUCGCCCCACUCUGUGCCAUCACCUGCACCCAGCGUGACAAAUGCAUCUUCAGUCAACCCUUCGCCGUCGCCUUCCAACCUUUCUGCCUGUAGUUCGAGUGGGACUUCAAAAAAGAGGAAGGCAGUUGACCAAACUGAUAAAGUUUUGGAAGUUGCUCUUAGUAAACUCUCAUCCCUUCCCAGUCAUGGAUGUAGAUCCAUAUCUCGACAGCAUAGCAGUUAGUUUAUAAUGGGCUUAAGAAUAUGAGUGAAGACCAGCGGAAAUUGGCCAGGAAGCUAAUAUUUGAUGCUCUAAGCAUGGGUGACAUGGGAGAUCUUACUAGGGAACAUCAGAUAUUGCGAGUAGUAGGUUCGGACAAUUUCAUGGCAUGAAAAGGUAGUUAAGUAUUUAGGUUACAGCAUAUUGCCGUACAAAGUACAAUUUUACAUAACUAUUAUGAACAUUUUUUUUUUCUUUUUGUUCAUGUGAUAUGUAAAAAUAAUAAAGGAAUGAAAACUAUCAGUACGUACUUUGUAUCCACCUUAUGAAACUCACCUUAAGAUAAUCCUCCCUUAGGACAUUAUAGAUGGCUGCACAGGUUUCAGGGAUGAUCAGACCGAGGCUCUGUUUUGAAAUUCUAGUGGAAUACUGGAGACUUGUGUAGGAUCCUCCAGCGGCAAGGAAGCGAAGUGUUGCUUCAAGACGAGCACCCGGUGGUAUGCUGUCUCGGAUGCCGGUGUCCUGCUUGCAAAUAUAUGGAUUUAUCUUUUUCAGCAAUUCAUGAAAUGCAGUGAAUGGCAUUCGCGUAUAAUUUUCAAAGUCUAUUUGAUUUUCUGCCAGUAGCUCAAGAAAUACUUGAUCAAAGCUCCCUCGCAGAGACCGCCGAGAAAGCCACUGUUUGCACCACAAAGUCCGACGUUUCUUUUUCAAAAGUUUUUUUUUAGCUGCACACACAGCAACUAUACUCCACAGUACAGUUUGUUCGCAGAGUAGAGUGUCGGCAUACAUACUUCUCCCGUGAAAGCCAAAUGAUGACUGAGAUCUGAUGGCUCACACAAGGAUGAGAUUCGCAGUGAUGCAGCCCGUUUGGACGCUAGUGUCAAUUUUUCAACACCACUACUGCAUCACGUCGCUGACACGUGAUGCUCCGUGUGUACGGGGCUUUAGUAUUCA
Long non-coding RNA from Scylla paramamosain (green mud crab), 2145 nucleotides. RefSeq lists it as uncharacterized. NCBI's taxonomy places the organism in Eukaryota, Metazoa, Arthropoda, Malacostraca, Decapoda, Portunidae. The transcript has 3 exons. The record is from RefSeq and is a predicted model, not a curated record.